This 81-nucleotide transfer RNA is filed under the name Muribaculaceae bacterium. RNAcentral's name for it is "tRNA-Arg". It matches the Rfam family "tRNA". From Rfam's summary of the family: Transfer RNA (tRNA) molecules are approximately 80 nucleotides in length. Their secondary structure includes four short double-helical elements and three loops (D, anti-codon, and T loops). The record is from RNAcentral. Lineage: Bacteria; Pseudomonadati; Bacteroidota; Bacteroidia; Bacteroidales; Muribaculaceae.
GGACGGAUAGAUAAACUCUCACAUGGAGAGAGGCCGGCAAUCGACAGCCGGUGGCCGCAGGUUCGAAUCCUGUUCCGUCCU